Molecule: ribosomal RNA, 1533 nt
Filed under: Triticum aestivum (bread wheat)
Lineage: Eukaryota; Viridiplantae; Streptophyta; Magnoliopsida; Poales; Poaceae
Description: partial small subunit ribosomal RNA
Source: RNAcentral
AUGUCGAGCAACUCCGCCGCCCCCCGCCGCUUCUCGUCGGCGAUGUCGACCUCGACGGCGAAGCGCCCUGCCGUGCCGGAGGGCGCCAGGGCGGCCGCGGGCCCCGCGGCCGCGCAGCAGCAGGCGAAGAAGCGCGUGGCGCUCGGCAACCUCACCACCAACGUCGCCGCGGCGGCCGGGGGCAGGGCCGGCUGCGGGAAGAUCGCGGUCGUCACGGCGGGCAAUGCAAGGUUGAAUUCAGCUACCUCAGUUGCACCUGUGAAGAAGGGAGCUUUGCCAAGUGCUCGGAAUGCAAGCACAAAUCGUGGCUCGGCUGUGAAAUCGGCUUUCACCAAGCCAGCUCCUGUCACAUCUCGCCAUGAGAGCUCCGUACAGAAGGAGAGUGUUCCUCCUCGUAAGGUGCCUACUGUGGUGCCGAUUGCCGUGCCUGCCGUUAUACCCUUCAGCAGCUUCGCGUCUCCUGGACAUUCAGGAGAUUCCAUUUCCACUGACGAGACUAUGUCGAGUUGCGACUCUAUGAAGAGCCCCGACUUCGAGUACAUUGAUAAUGGUGACUCCUCAUUGCUCGAUUCUCUACAGCGACGGGCGAAUGAAAACCUGCGCAUUUCAGAUGAUAGGACUGUGGAAGGAGCUAAGUGGAAGAAGGAUGCUGCUGCUCCAAUGGAAAUUGACAACGUUUGUGACGUCGAUGAUAACUAUGAGGAUCCACAGCUGUGUGCUACUCUUGCUUCUGAUAUCUAUAUGCACCUGCGAGAGGCUGAGACGAGGAAAAGACCAUCAACUGAUUUUCUGGAAACAAUUCAGAAGGAUGUGAACCCAAGCAUGAGGGCUAUCCUGAUUGACUGGCUUGUGGAAGUUGCUGAAGAAUAUCGUCUUGUUCCUGAUACCUUAUACCUGACAGUCAACUAUAUUGACCGUUACCUUUCCGGCAAUGAGAUCAAUCGCCAAAGGCUGCAAUUACUCGGUGUCGCUUGCAUGCUUAUAGCUGCUAAAUAUGAGGAGAUUUGUGCACCCCAGGUAGAAGAAUUCUGCUACAUCACUGACAAUACAUACUUCAAGGAUGAGGUUUUGGAUAUGGAAGCUUCCGUCCUCAAUUACCUGAAGUUUGAGAUGACCGCACCUACAGCAAAGUGCUUUUUAAGGAGAUUUGUCCGGGCUGCACAAGUCUGUGAUGAGGAUCCACCUUUGCAUCUUGAGUUCCUAGCCAAUUAUGUUGCUGAGCUAUCACUGCUUGAGUACAGUCUACUUGCUUACCCUCCUUCACUUGUUGCGGCCUCUGCAAUUUUCUUGUCGAAGUUCAUACUGCAGCCAGCAAAACACCCCUGGAACUCCACCCUUGCCCACUACACACAGUACAAGCCGUCGGAGCUAUGCGAUUGUGUGAAGGCGCUGCACCGCCUUUUCAGCGUUGGUCCUGGGAGUAAUCUUCCUGCAAUCAGAGAAAAGUACAGCCAACAUAAGUACAAAUUUGUCGGGAAGAAGCAAUGCCCAAGUUCAGUCCCCGCAGAAUUCUUCCGGGACGCGGCAUGCUAG